UACGUAGGGUGCAAGCGUUGUCCGGAAUUAUUGGGCGUAAAGAGCUCGUAGGCGGUUUGUCGCGUCUGCUGUGAAAACCCGAGGCUCAACCUCGGGCCUGUAGUGGGUACGGGCAGACUAGAGUGCGGUAGGGGAGAUUGCGAUUCCUGGUGUAGCGGUGGAAUGCGCAGAUAGCUGGAGGAACACCGAUGGCGAAGGCAGAUCUCUGGGCCGUAACUGACGCUGAGGAGCGAAAGCGUGGGGAGCGAACAGG
RNAcentral lists this unclassified non-coding RNA (253 nucleotides) under uncultured Micrococcales bacterium. Its description in RNAcentral is "contains 16S-23S intergenic spacer region". It matches the Rfam family "Bacterial small subunit ribosomal RNA", at positions 524 to 776 of the family's 1533-position model. Lineage: Bacteria; Bacillati; Actinomycetota; Actinomycetes; Micrococcales. The record is from RNAcentral.